UCCUGCCGGUGAAGACUGACACUCCCUCAUCACGGCAUGUUCAAAUUGUCUCAUCAGUGUCUGCUGUGUUCUAUCAAAUUGUAUCAGGUGUAACGUGAAAGAUCCUGACACAUUGUAAACACAUUGAAGGAACCUCUGCAAUGGAGCAUUAAUGAACUGCCCAAAGCCAAGACGAAGUCACAGCAGGGAGGAUAUUCGGCCAACAUUACACACACUGGAAGACUGUGUAGAAUCUGUUAAGAUGACAGUGGGAGAAAAUGACAGUGAUGAGGCUCCUCUCCCACUAGCUGCCUUUAAGAUGGAGAAGAUGAAGCUGGUUGCUCAGGACAUGUGGAGAUGUGGACAUGAGGCGGAGAUGGACUUCAUGCUCUCCUAUUUAAGAAGUUGUCUGGAUGAUGUCCGACAGCCACACGGUCUACUCUCAAUGCAGGAAAUAGGCUCAUGGAUAUGGAUAUAUAUAUGGAUGUUACCUGUAGCCAUUUCAAUAUGUGUGGCCUACUUCAAUGAUGGGUUGACUUUCACAAAAUGGACACUGUCGGCAGAUCACCUUAUGGUGCUAGUGCUAGUCUAGCAUGGUCAAGUAGAAGAGGAGUUCUCAGUUAUUUAUUUUCCAGAAUGUUUCGGUCAAGGAUUCCCAGGACACCAGAACACCAGGGCACAUGCUACUUCGUAUGCACACACACACAAGUAAGCACACACAUGCACACACACACUUACAGUACACAGAAUGAGUUGCAAGAGUAGAGGAUGGAGUACUUCGUAUGCACACACACUCAAGCAAACACACACAUGCACAUGCACAGUCACUUUACACAGAAUGAGUUGCAAGAGUAGGGGAUGGAGUACUUAGUAUGCACACAAACACACACACUCAAGCAAACACACACAUGCACAUGCUCACAGAAUGAGUUACAGUACAAGAGUAAGAGAUGGAGACAAAUUGAUGAGCAUCAUUAC
Long non-coding RNA from Alosa sapidissima (American shad), 957 nucleotides. RefSeq lists it as uncharacterized. The record is from RefSeq and is a predicted model, not a curated record. The transcript has 3 exons. Lineage: Eukaryota; Metazoa; Chordata; Actinopteri; Clupeiformes; Clupeidae.